CCAAUUAAACUUGUUGCAAACUUGUUUUAGAUGGUGGAUACUGCUAUUUAAAACCUAUCUUCUGAGCAUGUGAUGAAGGAUAGAGAGUCUGCAAAAAAACCAACAGCAGCCUUUUACAAUUCCACUUAUUACAAUUGUGCAUUUUGCUGACAAAGUCACAGACAGUAAAAUUAAGGUGAUAACAAAUAUGUCACCACUGCCCCUUGCCCAGCAGAGAAUGGGAGAUGCCGUCCAUUGUAAAAGACCUCAAAUUUCAGAUAUGGAAAAUGUCAAAGAAGUGGAAAGAAGCUGGCAAACUCCAGAGACCAAGAGACUGUCCUGUCUGCAUGUUUGUACUAAACGACCAUCCGUCUGGAGCAACUCUGUGUUUUGGCAUUUCUUUUUCUCCAUAGAGAUAAGUGAUUUUUUUUUUUCUUUUACCUCACAAUCUCAGUGAAGGUUUUAGAAAAUACAGAUUUUGAGGCUUAUUCAUCUAAUUACAAACGAUCAGGAAAGGUUAUGAGAAGUACUUUUGGUUUUCUUUUCGCAUGCUAUUCAUAUUAUGGGAUGGAAAUGCACAGAGUAUGUAUUGUAAAAUAAUGUAUACAUCAGGAACAUGUAUUGAGUGCUAAUAGGUGUUGUAAUGCAUUAUCUCAGUAAAUCCUCACAAGGCCUAUGAGGUAGGUAUUAUUAUAGUUGUGAUAUUUUAUUAUUUUCAUGUAUUUUAAGUUUAUUUUGAGUGUAUUUUAUGAUUUACUUUUAUAAAGAGUUAUCAUUAUCAUUAUCAUGAUACCUGAGGAAAUACAGAGACGCAGGAGGUCUUCUAAAUUACCUCAGGUCACACAGCCAGCCUUUGCAUCCCGGCCAUCUGACUCCAAAGCCUGCACUCUUGCUUUUUUGUGCUGCAAACGUUAAGGGUUUUUCUAGCUCUAAAAUAAGAUUCUAUGUUGCUAACUCAUUUAAAUGCUAUUCUUUAUUUGGGUUUUAAAAUGUUUAGUGAAAAAACAUGUCAUAAUUUGGGGGAACAGCUGUAUACUUCAUUUCUCUUUUGUAGCCUGGAUAACGGAGCGCUCUUUAUAAGUAAAAUCACGCUCUUCAUUCUUCCCUUGGAAGAACUGGGUAAGUGGCUCUUUGCAAAGCAACGAAGUAAGAAA
Long non-coding RNA from Mirounga angustirostris (Northern elephant seal), 1133 nucleotides. RefSeq lists it as uncharacterized. The transcript has 3 exons. The record is from RefSeq and is a predicted model, not a curated record. Lineage: Eukaryota; Metazoa; Chordata; Mammalia; Carnivora; Phocidae.